RNAcentral lists this ribosomal RNA (796 nucleotides) under uncultured bacterium. RNAcentral describes it as "bacterial SSU rRNA". It matches the Rfam family "Bacterial small subunit ribosomal RNA", at positions 8 to 796 of the family's 1533-position model. The record is from RNAcentral.
AGAGUUUGAUCCUGGCUCAGAAUGAACGCUGGCGGCGUGCCUAACACAUGCAAGUCGGAUGUGCCCGCAAGGGUGCAUGGCAGACGGGUGAGUAACGCGUGGGGAACCUACCUCUUUGUGGGGAAUAACGUUCCGAAAGGAAUGGUAAUACCGCAUGAGACCUUCGGCUGGGAUGCUGGAGGUGAAACCCGGGGACCGUAAGGCCUGGGGCAAGGAGAGGGUCCUGCGUCUGAUUAGCUAGUUGGCGGGGUAAUGGCCCACCAAGGCGACGAUCAGUAGCCGGCCUGAGAGGGUGAUCGGCCACACUGGAACUGAGACACGGUCCAGACUCCUACGGGAGGCAGCAGUGGGGAAUUUUGCGCAAUGGACGAAAGUCUGACGCAGCAACGCCGCGUGGGUGAUGAAGGUCUUCGGAUUGUAAAACCCUGUCGUCAGGGACGAAGGUUGGGGCUUUAAUAGAGUUUCAACUUGACGGUACCUGGAGAGGAAGCCCCGGCUAACUCUGUGCCAGCAGCCGCGGUAAUACAGAGGGGGCAAGCGUUAUUCGGAAUUACUGGGCGUAAAGGGCGCGUAGGCGGUUCUUUAAGUCGGAUGUGCAAUCCCCGAGCUCAACUUGGGAACUGCAUCCGAAACUGGGGAGCUAGAGUGCUGGAGAGGGUGGUGGAAUUCCACGUGUAGCGGUGAAAUGCGUAGAGAUGUGGAGGAACACCAGUGGCGAAGGCGGCCACCUGGACAGUAACUGACGCUGAGGCGCGAAAGUGUGGGUAGCAAACAGGAUUAGAUACCCUGGUAGUCG